Molecule: small RNA, 139 nt
Filed under: Salvator merianae (Argentine black and white tegu)
Lineage: Eukaryota; Metazoa; Chordata; Lepidosauria; Squamata; Teiidae
Description: TUC338 (ENSSMRG00000018065.1)
Source: RNAcentral
UUGGCGAAGCUGAGGAAACUGAAGUACUCUCUUUAUUCACUGUAAGCCCCUCCAUUGUGUCCGCUCUGCCCUUGAGGGACUGCCCUCUCCNGAGUUAAUAGGUCAUUCGGUUUACAUGCUAUCCCAGUCCAGAGAGCCU